GAAGCAGGAGGAACAGUCGCGCUUUAGUGUGAGUCAUCCAUUGAAGUGAGGAAAGUCCGAGCUCCACAGAAUCAGGGCGCCCGGUAACGCCGGGGCGGAGUGAUCCGACGGUAAGGGCCACAGAAACCAUACCGCCCGCCGCUGGCGGGUAAGGGUGAAAUCGUGGUGUAAGAGACCACGGUCGUUUCCGGAGACGGAGGCGACGGGUAACCCCCGCCCGGAGCAAGGCCAAAUAGGGGAAGAGGAGUUGAUUCGCUCCGUUAUCAUUCCCGGGUAGGCCGCGUGGAAUGGUCGGGCAACCGAUCAUCAAGAUAAAUGGCUGUUGCCCUGUCUAAAACAGGGUACAGAACUCGGCUUAUUUCCUGCUUCCCGU
RNAcentral lists this RNase P RNA (373 nucleotides) under Candidatus Zixiibacteriota bacterium. RNAcentral describes it as "candidate division Zixibacteria bacterium RNase P RNA component class A". It matches the Rfam family "Bacterial RNase P class A". Rfam says of the family: Ribonuclease P (RNase P) is a ubiquitous endoribonuclease, found in archaea, bacteria and eukarya as well as chloroplasts and mitochondria. Its best characterised activity is the generation of mature 5'-ends of tRNAs by cleaving the 5'-leader elements of precursor-tRNAs. Cellular RNase Ps are ribonucleoproteins. The record is from RNAcentral. Lineage: Bacteria; Pseudomonadati; Candidatus Zixiibacteriota.